GACGUUACCUACAGAAGAAGCACCGGCUAACUCCGUGCCAGCAGCCGCGGUAAUACGGAGGGUGCGAGCGUUAAUCGGAAUUACUGGGCGUAAAGCGCAUGCAGGCGGCCUGUUAAGUCAGAUGUGAAAGGCCCGGGGACCGUUAACCUACGGUAAUUGCUAUUUAGUAAACUGGCGAGGCUAGAGUCUUGUAGAGGGGGGUAGGAAUUUCAGGUGUAGCGGUGAAAUGCGUAGAGAUCUGAAGGAAUACCAGUGGCGAAGGCGGCCCCCUGGACAAAGACUGACGCUCAGAUGCGAAAGCGUGGGGAGCAAACAGGAUUAGAUACCCUGGUAG
This 334-nucleotide ribosomal RNA is filed under the name uncultured bacterium. RNAcentral describes it as "bacterial SSU rRNA". It matches the Rfam family "Bacterial small subunit ribosomal RNA", at positions 471 to 793 of the family's 1533-position model. The record is from RNAcentral.